UUAAGUUAUUAAGGGCGCACGGUGGAUGCCUUGGCACUAGAAGCCGAUGAAGGACGUUACUAACGACGAUAUGCUUUGGGGAGCUGUAAGUAAGCUUUGAUCCAGAGAUUUCCGAAUGGGGAAACCCAGCAUGAGUUAUGUCAUGUUAUCGAUAUGUGAAUACAUAGCAUAUCAGAAGGCACACCCGGAGAACUGAAACAUCUUAGUACCCGGAGGAAGAGAAAGAAAAUUCGAUUCCCUUAGUAGCGGCGAGCGAAACGGGAAGAGCCCAAACCAACAAGCUUGCUUGUUGGGGUUGUAGGACACUCUAUACGGAGUUACAAAGGACGACAUUAGACGAAUCAUCUGGAAAGAUGAAUCAAGGAAGGUAAUAAUCCUGUAGUCGAAAAUGUUGUCUCUCUUGAGUGGAUCCUGAGUACGACGGAGCACGUGAAAUUCCGUCGGAAUCUGGGAGGACCAUCUCCUAAGGCUAAAUACUCUCUAGUGACCGAUAGUGAACCAGUACCGUGAGGGAAAGGUGAAAAGCACCCCGGAAGGGGAGUGAAAUAGAACCUGAAACCGUGUGCUUACAAGUAGUCAGAGCCCGUUAAUGGGUGAUGGCGUGCCUUUUGUAGAAUGAACCGGCGAGUUACGAUUUGAUGCAAGGUUAAGCAGUAAAUGUGGAGCCGUAGCGAAAGCGAGUCUGAAUAGGGCGUUUAGUAUUUGGUCGUAGACCCGAAACCAGGUGAUCUACCCUUGGUCAGGUUGAAGUUCAGGUAACACUGAAUGGAGGACCGAACCGACUUACGUUGAAAAGUGAGCGGAUGAACUGAGGGUAGCGGAGAAAUUCCAAUCGAACCUGGAGAUAGCUGGUUCUCUCCGAAAUAGCUUUAGGGCUAGCCUCAAGUGAUGAUUAUUGGAGGUAGAGCACUGUUUGGACGAGGGGCCCCUCUCGGGUUACCGAAUUCAGACAAACUCCGAAUGCCAAUUAAUUUAACUUGGGAGUCAGAACAUGGGUGAUAAGGUCCGUGUUCGAAAGGGAAACAGCCCAGACCACCAGCUAAGGUCCCAAAAUAUAUGUUAAGUGGAAAAGGAUGUGGCGUUGCCCAGACAACUAGGAUGUUGGCUUAGAAGCAGCCAUCAUUUAAAGAGUGCGUAAUAGCUCACUAGUCGAGUGACACUGCGCCGAAAAUGUACCGGGGCUAAACAUAUUACCGAAGCUGUGGAUUGUCCUUUGGACAAUGGUAGGAGAGCGUUCUAAGGGCGUUGAAGCAUGAUCGUAAGGACAUGUGGAGCGCUUAGAAGUGAGAAUGCCGGUGUGAGUAGCGAAAGACGGGUGAGAAUCCCGUCCACCGAUUGACUAAGGUUUCCAGAGGAAGGCUCGUCCGCUCUGGGUUAGUCGGGUCCUAAGCUGAGGCCGACAGGCGUAGGCGAUGGAUAACAGGUUGAUAUUCCUGUACCACCUAUAAUCGUUUUAAUCGAUGGGGGGACGCAGUAGGAUAGGCGAAGCGUGCGAUUGGAUUGCACGUCUAAGCAGUAAGGCUGAGUAUUAGGCAAAUCCGGUACUCGUUAAGGCUGAGCUGUGAUGGGGAGAAGACAUUGUGUCUUCGAGUCGUUGAUUUCACACUGCCGAGAAAAGCCUCUAGAUAGAAAAUAGGUGCCCGUACCGCAAACCGACACAGGUAGUCAAGAUGAGAAUUCUAAGGUGAGCGAGCGAACUCUCGUUAAGGAACUCGGCAAAAUGACCCCGUAACUUCGGGAGAAGGGGUGCUCUUUAGGGUUAACGCCCAGAAGAGCCGCAGUGAAUAGGCCCAAGCGACUGUUUAUCAAAAACACAGGUCUCUGCUAAACCGUAAGGUGAUGUAUAGGGGCUGACGCCUGCCCGGUGCUGGAAGGUUAAGAGGAGUGGUUAGCUUCUGCGAAGCUACGAAUCGAAGCCCCAGUAAACGGCGGCCGUAACUAUAACGGUCCUAAGGUAGCGAAAUUCCUUGUCGGGUAAGUUCCGACCCGCACGAAAGGCGUAACGAUUUGGGCACUGUCUCAACGAGAGACUCGGUGAAAUCAUAGUACCUGUGAAGAUGCAGGUUACCCGCGACAGGACGGAAAGACCCCGUGGAGCUUUACUGUAGCCUGAUAUUGAAAUUCGGCACAGCUUGUACAGGAUAGGUAGGAGCCUUUGAAACGUGAGCGCUAGCUUACGUGGAGGCGCUGGUGGGAUACUACCCUAGCUGUGUUGGCUUUCUAACCCGCACCACUUAUCGUGGUGGGAGACAGUGUCAGGCGGGCAGUUUGACUGGGGCGGUCGCCUCCUAAAAGGUAACGGAGGCGCUCAAAGGUUCCCUCAGAAUGGUUGGAAAUCAUUCAUAGAGUGUAAAGGCAUAAGGGAGCUUGACUGCGAGACCUACAAGUCGAGCAGGGUCGAAAGACGGACUUAGUGAUCCGGUGGUUCCGCAUGGAAGGGCCAUCGCUCAACGGAUAAAAGCUACCCCGGGGAUAACAGGCUUAUCUCCCCCAAGAGUUCACAUCGACGGGGAGGUUUGGCACCUCGAUGUCGGCUCAUCGCAUCCUGGGGCUGUAGUCGGUCCCAAGGGUUGGGCUGUUCGCCCAUUAAAGCGGUACGCGAGCUGGGUUCAGAACGUCGUGAGACAGUUCGGUCCCUAUCCGUCGUGGGCGUAGGAAAUUUGAGAGGAGCUGUCCUUAGUACGAGAGGACCGGGAUGGACAUACCUCUGGUGUACCAGUUGUCGUGCCAACGGCAUAGCUGGGUAGCUAUGUGUGGACGGGAUAAGUGCUGAAAGCAUCUAAGCAUGAAGCCCCCCUCAAGAUGAGAUUUCCCAACUUCGGUUAUAAGAUCCCUCAAAGAUGAUGAGGUUAAUAGGUUCGAGGUGGAAGCAUGGUGACAUGUGGAGCUGACGAAUACUAAUCGAUCGAAGACUUAAUCAA
RNAcentral lists this ribosomal RNA (2921 nucleotides) under Staphylococcus aureus DAR1961. RNAcentral's name for it is "bacterial LSU rRNA". It matches the Rfam family "Bacterial large subunit ribosomal RNA". Lineage: Bacteria; Bacillati; Bacillota; Bacilli; Caryophanales; Staphylococcaceae. The record is from RNAcentral.